GCUCGCUUACGUUACCGUCCGCCACCAAAUCCUGGUUCGGGAAUAUUAACCCGAUUCCCUUUCGAUGGGCAGCGCAAAUUGCGCUCUUGAUACGGCGUUAACCCAUCUCUUAGGACCGACUAACCCAUGUUCAAAUGCUGUUCACAUGGAACCUUUCUCCACUUCGGCCUUCAAAGUUCUCAUUUGAAUAUUUGCUACUACCACCAAGAUCUGCACUAGUGCCCGUUUCACCCCGGCUCACGCCGCAGGCUGCUUCACGAGCACCACGCCCCCCUACUCAUCGAAGCCUCGCACUCGCUUCGAUGGUCAAGUAUAGGCCACGCGCUUAAGCGCCAUCCAUUUUCGGGGCUAAUCCAUUCGGCAGGUGAGUUGUUACACACUCCUUAGCGGAUUCCGACUUCCAUGGCCACCGUCCUGCUGUCUGUAUGAGUCAACACCCUUUGUGGGAUCUAGGUUAGCGCGCAGUUGGGCGCCGUAACUUGACUUUCGGUUCAUCCCGCCUCGCCAGUUCUGCUUACCAAAAAUGGCCCACAUGGAACUCGUAUUUAACGCCGCGGUUCGGUUAGGCAACCGCGACUCUUACCUAUUUAAAGUUUGAGAAUUGGUCGAGGAUGUUACAUCCCCGAUUCCACUAAUCAUUCGCUUUACCCGAUAAAACUAAAAAGCUCCAGCUAUCCUGAGGGAAACUUCGGGGGGAACCAGCUACUAGAUGGUUCGAUUAGUCUUUCGCCCCUAUACCCAAGUCCUAAGAACGAUUUGCACGUCAGUAUCCCUACGAGCCUCCACCAGAGUU
RNAcentral lists this ribosomal RNA (793 nucleotides) under uncultured Chlorophyceae. RNAcentral describes it as "partial Archaeal large subunit ribosomal RNA". Lineage: Eukaryota; Viridiplantae; Chlorophyta; Chlorophyceae. The record is from RNAcentral.